AACGAACGCUGGCGGCAGGCCUAACACAUGCAAGUCGAACGCCCUAGUAAUAGGGAGUGGCAGACGGGUGAGUAACACGUGGGAACCUUCCCUAUAGUACGGAAUAGCCCAGGGAAACUUGGAGUAAUACCGUAUAAGCCCGAGAGGGGAAAGAUUUAUCGCUAUAGGAUGGGCCCGCGUAGGAUUAGCUAGUUGGUGAGGUAACGGCUCACCAAGGCAACGAUCCUUAGCUGGUUUGAGAGAAUGACCAGCCACACUGGGACUGAGACACGGCCCAGACUCCUACGGGAGGCAGCAGUGGGGAAUCUUGGACAAUGGGCGCAAGCCUGAUCCAGCCAUGCCGCGUGAGUGAUGAAGGCCUUAGGGUUGUAAAGCUCUUUUGCCGGGGACGAUAAUGACGGUACCCGGAGAAUAAGUCCCGGCUAACUUCGUG
This 433-nucleotide ribosomal RNA is filed under the name uncultured bacterium. RNAcentral's name for it is "bacterial SSU rRNA". It matches the Rfam family "Bacterial small subunit ribosomal RNA", at positions 29 to 507 of the family's 1533-position model. The record is from RNAcentral.